CCCGACUCUUGAUGCCUCUCCUAAUAGACACAUAAUUUGCUUGAAUUAUGGUGAUAAUGACUAGCAUAUAUUGGACUUGCCGUGUGCGGGUGCUGUGUAGGCUUUACAUAGAUUGACUCCUCUCACCUCCCCACUCCUCUGUGAGGAGGGCACCAUCAUCUCCUUGAUUCGGAUGGAGACAGACAGGCACUGAGGGUUAAGUCAGUUGCACAUGGGGUGCAGUCGGGACUCUCCCCGGGAUUCCUACAGAAGAGGCUACAUCUGAACCACGACAGCACCUGCCCUGGACCACGCACACGUUACAUCAUCUACAGCGUAUGCCUUUCUUUAUGCCGCAGCCUCCAGCCCCUGCAGGGUGACUGAGCAGAGCAGAUGCUGCCACUCCCUCAGGUUCCCACAGUCAGCCUUGCUCUGGUUCACAUCCUGCCUCGCUGUGGCUGCUCCAUCUCCCCGUGGCUCCUCCUUCCCCUCCUGCCUGUCUGGGAGGACGUCCCAUUUCAGUUCCGGCUCCUUCGACUCAUCCAUCACUGUGUCUCUGAAGCCACAGCUCUGUUCUGGGGUCCUGGCAGAUGACAGUGGUGACAAAGAGGAAGCUCCUAGGCCCUAGGGAUGGGGCCCUCCUUCAGAGUCGCCCUCCUUGCCGAGAAGUGAUGCCUGGCCCUGGGAAAUGAACAGUGGCCUGGCCUGGUCAGGAAAGGCUGCAGCUCGUGGAACAGCCUGCAGACAAGCUACCCGGCUCCUGGUGGUCAUUUCCACAGCAGGAAGCUGCCUGGGAGCCCUAAAGCCAGUGGGUCUUCAGGUCCUUCAAGAUUUGCUGCCUCCUCACCCAGAACUGUGUGGUCCUGUGGCCUUUAGGUAUGUCUGCUGCCUCCCUGCCUCUCCUCUCCACCUCUGUUUUAUGGAGUGGAAAGAAUAAUGAAAUCAAGACCAGAAAUUCUGGGUCUGCGUUGGCUCUACCGCGAAUGAACUCCCUCCAUAGGCUUGUUUCUCAUCAAUGAUAUAAGAGGUGGGUCGUCUCGUCUCGAAGACCCUUUAUCCCAUGCACAACUCCGGAAAAGGGUUCCCAGCGACUCCAAGGCUGGAAGAUGAUGACUCCGUUCCCAGCCCCGCAGCCCACCAGCGUGGCAGUGGACAAGCCACCCAAGACCAUAGACGAGAAAGGCCACAGACCAUCGGGAAUGUCUCUUCGGCUCAAGAUAAUUUUCAGCAAAAUGGUCAGAAUACAAAGGGUCUGGGUAUCUUCCUGGUUGAUUGUGGAAGAUCAGCCUGGUCACAUGGGCGGCAGCCGAGCGAGGGACAGAGUCUGAGACACUCACCCCACGACGUGGAAGACACCUGGUGACCGUCUGGCAGAAGAAUAAGUCCACAAGAAAGGCCCGAAGUUACGUAAACUUCAGGCCUCACAAAAUCUGGUCAGUUCAUGCAUGUCCCCUAUGGGCAGAAGAACUAAAAGUUAAAUAGCCCUGAGAAAGCCCACAGAAAAUUAGUCCUUCUGAGGAUCUGUGCCUCUACACCCCAAGUCUGCUCAGCCAUCUCCACUCCUGCGUAGGGUUAGGCUGGGCUGGUGUUGUUAAUCAAGCAUAACACAAAAAUGAGAACUUAAGCACAUUUUUGUUAGUCAUUUAAUGUGUUUUGGAUUCUAACUUUUGAGGUGACAAAUAGAAAUGGCAAGCAAUAGGAUAUAUUGGAGUAUAUGAGGAAGCCAUUUGGUGUAAGCCUAAUUUGGCCUGACCUUGUUUUUCCAAAAGGGCCUGAUCAUGGCUGUUGAGCACGUGUUGCAUAUCUGCUUUAAACAUUUCCUAUGGCAAGAACAAAGGCCCUUGAGACAAAGGUGCAACUUCUCUCCCCCUCCCAACUUUGGCAUUUCCUUAAAGAUUAAGCGUCUUUCCUUAGGCUAGGAACUGAUUGCUGCACUCACCUGUGACCACCCAGCUCAAGACAAUAGACUGCCAUCCUGCUGUUUCCAUCAAUCGCUGUGCCGACAGAGCAGUCUCAUGACUAUUGUAAAAGGGACAUUUCAAUACUAUGUAAAGCAUCCUGUUUGGGGGUAUAGAACCACUCUGUGCACCUCACUUCUUUGGUGCCCUGUCUUCCUUCGGGAAGAAAGGCCCCAGGCCAUGGUCCUCACAUUUUAGCUCAGAAUAAACUCACCCAAAUUUUCAUUUAUAGAUUGGUUAUGGAUUAUUUUUGUCAACAGAGGUUAUCAAAAUAGAUUUCAAUAAGACAAAAAAUGAUACUGUAUUUUCAUUCUAGAUAUGAAAACAAUGAACUUGAGCAUGCUGUCAGUCUCAGUUCUUACCCCAGGAUUUUGUGGUUUGAAUUGGCUCUCACAUAAAAUAAAUCCCAUUCCUUCUUUAUUUUGUGACUUGGCAAUAAAUAAUAGAGAAGAUCGAGGGGAAAUGCUAUGGUGUUACUAACGUUAUUCUAACUGAGCCCAUUUUGCACAGAACUU
This is a long non-coding RNA of Equus caballus (horse), 2452 nucleotides long. NCBI's taxonomy places the organism in Eukaryota, Metazoa, Chordata, Mammalia, Perissodactyla, Equidae. The record is from Ensembl.